CAGCAGUCGCCGCGGUAAUCCGUAGGUGGCAAGCGUUGCCCGGAAUUAUUGGGCGUAAAGGGCUCGCAGGCAGUUUCUUAAGUCUGAUGUGAAAGCCCCCGGCUCAACCGGGGAGGGUCAUUGGAAACUGGGAAACUUGAGUGCAGAAGAGGAGAGUGGAAUUCCACGUGUAGCGGUGAAAUGCGUAGAGAUGUGGAGGAACACCAGUGGCGAAGGCGACUCUCUGGUCUGUAACUGACGCUGAGGAGCGAAAGCGUGGGGAGCGAACAGGAUUAGAUACCCCCGUAGUCCCUGUCUCUUAUAC
This 304-nucleotide ribosomal RNA is filed under the name uncultured bacterium. RNAcentral's name for it is "partial 16S ribosomal RNA". It matches the Rfam family "Bacterial small subunit ribosomal RNA", at positions 509 to 807 of the family's 1533-position model. The record is from RNAcentral.